GGGGCUUCCUGGCAAGACAGGACCAAAGGGAGAAAAGGGGGAGCUUGGCCGACCAGGAAGGAAGGUAUGGUCUGCGCUGUUCUGAGCAGGAGCCUGCUACUGCCAGGCAUUCAGACUUCUUCCGGGGGCUGCCAAGCCUGGCCAAAUUCCACCCCUCUCACUUCCCGCCCCAACCCCAGACCAUCUCACUCUGCUACCCAUCAGAGAAACCCUUCAUAGCUCCAACCAGUGACAUUGAAUGACUGUCACUCUCUGUUUGAUUAAAUUUGAAUAAAGUGCCAGA
This 283-nucleotide long non-coding RNA is filed under the name Homo sapiens (human). RNAcentral describes it as "non-protein coding lnc-METTL6-4:1". Lineage: Eukaryota; Metazoa; Chordata; Mammalia; Primates; Hominidae. The record is from RNAcentral.